Molecule: ribosomal RNA, 253 nt
Filed under: uncultured bacterium
Lineage: Bacteria
Description: partial 16S ribosomal RNA
Rfam family: Bacterial small subunit ribosomal RNA
Source: RNAcentral
UACGGAGGGGGCUAGCGUUGUUCGGAAUUACUGGGCGUAAAGCGCACGUAGGCGGCUUUGCAAGUUAGAGGUGAAAGCCCGGGGCUCAACUCCGGAAUUGCCUUUAAAACUGCAUCGCUAGAGUUGUGGAGAGGUAAGUGGAAUUCCGAGUGUAGAGGUGAAAUUCGUAGAUAUUCGGAAGAACACCAGUGGCGAAGGCGGCUUGCCAGAACGCGCUCGACGGUGAGGGAUGAAAGCUGGGGGAGCAAACCCG